This 497-nucleotide ribosomal RNA is filed under the name uncultured bacterium. Its description in RNAcentral is "bacterial SSU rRNA". It matches the Rfam family "Bacterial small subunit ribosomal RNA", at positions 290 to 799 of the family's 1533-position model. The record is from RNAcentral.
GCCUGAGAGGGCGACCGGCCACACUGGGACUGAGACACGGCCCAGACUCCUACGGGGAGGCAGCAGUGGGGAAUAUUGCGCAAUGGGCGAAAGCCUGACGCAGCAACGCCGCGUGAGGGGAUGAAGGCCUUCGGUUGUAAACCUCUUUCAGCAGGGAAGAAGCGAAAGUGACGGUACCUGCAGAAGAAGCACCGGCUAACUACGUGCCAGCAGCCGCGGUAAUACGUAGGGUGCAAGCGUUGUCCGGAAUUAUUGGGCGUAAAGAGCUCGUAGGCGGUUGUCGCGUCUGCUGUGAAAACCUGGGGCUUAACUCCGGGCCUGCAGUGGGUACGGGCAGACUAGAGUGCGGUAGGGGAGACUGGAAUUCCUGGUGUAGCGGUGAAAUGCGCAGAUAUCAGGAGGAACACCGAUGGCGAAGGCAGGUCUCUGGGCCGUAACUGACGCUGAGGAGCGAAAGCGUGGGGAGCGAACAGGAUUAGAUACCCUGGUAGUCCACG